AUUUUAUUAUUUUUAAUUAUAAACAGUGUUUUGUAAUUGUGUUAAAAAUACAUAUUUUUUUUUGAUACAGGGUCCUGCUCUGUGGCACAGACUGGAGUGCAGUGGCGUGAUGACAGCUCACUGCAGCCUCCACCUCCCAGGCUCAGGGGAUCCUCCCACCUCAGCCUCCCGAGUAGCUGGGACUACAGGCAUUUGUCACCAUGCCUAGCUAAUUUUUGUAUUUUCUUGGUAGAGACAGGGUUUCACCAUGUUGCCCAGGCUGAUCUCGAACUCCUGAGCUCAAGCAAUCCGCCUCCCUUGGCCUCCCAAAGUGCUGGGAUUACAAGCAUGAGCCACCGUGCUGGGCCUAAAUAUUUUAAAUAUUUUCUUUUUUUUUUUCUUUUGAGACAGGGUCUCACUCUGUUGCCCAGGCUGGAGUGCAGUGGUGCAAUUAUGGCUCACUGCAACCUUCACUUCCCGGGCUCAGGUGAUCUUCCCACCUCAUUCUCCUGAGUAGCUGGGACUACAGGAGUGUGCCACCAUGGCUGGCUAAUUUUAAAAUUUUUUUCGUAGAGGCGGGUUUUCACCAUGCUGCCCAGGCUGGUCUUGAACUCCUGGACUCAAACAAUUCGCUCACCUCGGCCUCCCAAAGUGCUGGGACUACAGGCAUGAGCCACCGCACCUGGCCUUUCUUUCUUUCUUUCUUUCUUUUUUGAGACUGAGUCUUGCUUUGUUGCCCAGGCUGGAGUACAAUGGUGCGAUCUCAGCUCACUGCAACCUCCGCCUCCCAGGUUAAAGCAAUUGUCCUGCCUCAGCCUCCUGAGUAGCUGGGAUUAUAGGCGUGGGCCACCACACCCAGCUAAUUUUUGUAUUUUUAGUAGAGAUGGGGUUUCACCAUGAUUAGCCAGGCUGGUCUCAAACUCCUAACCUCAAGUAAUUCACCUGCCUCAGACUCCCAGAGUGCUAGGGUUACAGGCAUGAGCCACCACACCUGGGCCAACUCCCAGGUUCAAACCAUCCUCCCACCUCAGCCUGUGGAGUAGCUGGGACUAUAGGUAUGCCACCACGCCCAGCUAAUUUUUUCAUUUUUAUUUUUUUGUAGACUCACUAUAUUGCCCAGGCUGGUCUUGAACCCUGGGGCUCACAUGAUUCUCUCCGCCUCAGCUUCCCAAAUUGCUGGGGUUAGAGGUGUGAGCCACCGCGCCCUGCCUACGGGUCUUUUGAAUGCUGCAUCCUAUAGAUAUUUUUUUCCUUCAACCCAGAAGCCAAAGCAUAAUUCCCUAAAUUCUUCAGAGCUGUCUUGGUGAGUUCAGGUGGUCUGCAAACCGCUAUUUCCAGAAGGCUGGCAUGGGGGCCUGUGUCUUCCUCCUUGCAGCCCUGUCCAGGCCCCUCCUCUUCUUGGCUCCCACCCUCUAGGCAGUUACUGGUUAUCUACUUCGUCCUUCCCGGACUUGACUGUUGGGCUCCUCGAGGGCUUCCCCCUUGUUAGUCUUCUCUUCCUCAGACCCCUUAGCCUGAAAGUGUGUUCCCCCAGGGCUUUCCUUGGCGGGCGGGCGAGCGGGCGGCGGCUGUCCUCUUGGGGCCCCCACCCUGGCCAUCCCAUGCGGCCGUCCCUCCUCCACACGGUCCUGCUUCCAUCUUAGGGAGGGCAGAGCUCAGUGAUCCUGCGCCUUCCUCAGGGACUCUGGGACACAGGUUACUUAGGGCCGAGAGCCCAGGAAGCCCUGAGAGGGCAAAUGCAACGGCUCCGAAGAGCCAUACGGAGAAGGGCGGCGCAGCCGGCCGUUGGGCCCCAUGCCCCGCCUUCUGCAACCCCACGCCACCCAACCCCACCACACGCCACCCUCCGUCCCGCAGCUGCCCCGGCCCACAGCCCCCAGUCUCUGCAGUCGCUGAAUGCGCCCCCCUCCCCUCCCCGCCAUCCGUGGACGCCAGAAGCCAUGGACACUGGAGAAUGUCAGGGAAAGGUCAAGUUCUUCCUUGGGAUCCGAGGGCGAGGACAGAGCUCCCGGAAGCACCAGGGGCCACAAGAGUUGGGCCGCCCUCCACACCCGCCCCGCGCAAGGUCCGCCACCCUCUACCCCCAUCCCAAGCUGGGAUCCUCCCUGCCCUUCACCCCCUUCCGUGCGAUGUCCACCUUCCCCGGAGUCAGCGCAGGAGAUGCCCCACCUCGGCUGCCGCGGGCGGGGACCGAAGGUGCAGCUCGGCCUGGCGAUGCGGGGCCAUGAGUAAAGGUCUGGAGGACACGGAGCUGGCCAGGGUCCGGGUUGCACGCCCCGCGGCCACACCGGAGUCCACGCUGCAGCGGGGGUCCGAGCCCGUUUUCAGGGUCCAGGGACGUGGCGGCCUGGCCCUCAGCACAGUGGCCCACAGCCCCGCCUCAGGGCUGUGCCCCCGACUGCGCCCGGCUCUGUCCCCACCUCCCCAACCCCAGAUGAGAUUUCACCGUGUUGGCCAGGCUGGUCCUGAACUCCAGAUCUGCCCAUCUUGGCCUCCCAAAGUGCUGAGAUUACAGGCAUGAGCCACCACAUCCAGCCAUAAUUUUAAAAAAUGGCUUCCUGAGGUUUUACAAGAAAAUAUGCACCUCAAAAUACACAAAAAGGCAUGGGAAUAGAGUACAGGUGAAGUGAAAGAUAAAAUGUACUGAGAGCUGGGAGUAGGAGAGACAAGGCCCUGGCUGAGGGGGUGUCAGUGGGCCUCCCAACACCUCAAGCCAAUCCACUUGGAAGUCUCCCAAAGUUCAUCAGGAGAACCACCUACAGCCAAGAACAGAAAAGGAUUCAAGAAAGCCGCACAGAUAUCAUGCCCUGACCUGCAAUGAGGCUGCUCACUUCCCAUGACUUCUGCUUGAUACCAUUCAAGCCUGGUUAGCUCAUGCUGAAGAAAUAUUUACUAGAAGCCUCAGAUAUGGGUGCCUAGAAGGAAAAAGAUCCAAGUUCUCUGUGGUGGUGCAACCUGUGGGAACUAUUGCCUCAUGCUCAGAAGGCCAAGCACUAGGCUCCCAUACAGUACCUACAAGACAGACACUCUGUGAGCCAGAUUUUUUCUCUUUUGGAGGGAGACCCCAAGUGCUCUCCUCUGGGUGCCCGAGUGUUGGAAUGGGCGGAUGCCAAGACUUCAUUCUAGCUCUUGGUCAGCAGCAGCACUAAGGGGUCUCUGAGAAGCAUCAGAGAUUUCACCACUGAUGAACUGCCAGGAGGCUAGUGGGGGCGGACUGAGGAGACACUGAAACACCGAAGCUGCCGCCACCACCGGCUGAUGCAAGUUUUAUUGAGACAAUAUACAAACAGGCCAUGGAAACAAGGGUUUUGAUGCUGGGACCAGUAACGUAAAACGGAAUACAAAAAUAAAAAGGCACUAAUCUGUUAAGAAAAGACACUCGAUGUAUUCUAAGAAUAUAAGUCAUUUAAUACUGUUAAUUUUAUAGCACAAAAUAAAACAAGCUAUGAUCCCCAAAAAUAAUUUUAAAAGCUUACACAGAAAAUAUUAUUGCCUGAAGUUUAUGAUCUUUAAGUUACAGGUCAAAAGAGUUUUAUGUUGUUGUUGUUGUUUUUGUUUUAAAACACACAGUGAAGACCGUCUAAGAAGCAAGGCCACUGUUCCUCCUGUAGGGACAACGAUCCUGUCUCAGAGACCUGUCCUUCUGCUCCUUUAGAAAACAGAACCAGCACAGUGUCCACACCGACAGCAGUUACUAGGGGCAUAGUCCUCCGGUCGCAGAGGGUGGAGUUGAGGCAGAGCUCAGUGGUGUCCACAGAAAGCAUUAGUCUUAGGUACUGUGUUAAAACAAUCAAGAAUUCAUUCAUGUUUAAGAGGUUAAUAACCAUAAUAUUAAAGGAUUAAAUUAUAAACACCUGGCAAAAAACCACAUUAUCCCUUUUCAAAAAUAAAAUGUUCAUAUUCCUCUGAGCAAACAUCACAAGAGCAGUGGCCAUCUGCCUCAGGCCUGCCUUGUCUGUAAACAGCUGUAAAGGAAAGCUAGCACAGCGCCAGGGACACAUGAACUCCCAGGAGGGCACAGCUGUCCUUCCCUUUCAGCUUUCCAAACAUGAGCACAGAAGGUGUCUAGUCUGGGUGACCAAAGUCCUCAAACGGCAGCCGGUCAACACAUCGUCUUCCUCGUUAACCAUGUCGUCAGGUGGUUUCACACAGCACAGACAUGGCUGACUCCUGUACCGCAGGUCCUUCCCGGGAUACACAAGUUUUUAACCAGUCAAUGCCCUCUAGUACGUAAUUUGUUUCC
Gorilla gorilla gorilla (western lowland gorilla) is the source of this 4222-nucleotide long non-coding RNA. RefSeq lists it as uncharacterized. Lineage: Eukaryota; Metazoa; Chordata; Mammalia; Primates; Hominidae. The record is from RefSeq and is a predicted model, not a curated record. The transcript has 2 exons.